UACAGAGGGUGCGAGCGUUAAUCGGAAUUACUGGGCGUAAAGCGCGCGUAGGCGGCUUUGCAAGUCGGGUGUGAAAUCCCCAGGCUUAACCUGGGAACUGCAUUCGAGACUGCAUUGCUAGAGUAUGGGAGAGGGAAGUGGAAUUUCCGGUGUAGUGGUGAAAUGCGUAGAUAUCGUGAGGAAGACCAGUGGCGAAGGCGGAUCUCUGGACAGUUCCUGACGCUGAGGCACGAAGGCCAGGGGAGCAAACGGG
This 253-nucleotide ribosomal RNA is filed under the name uncultured bacterium. RNAcentral describes it as "partial 16S ribosomal RNA". It matches the Rfam family "Bacterial small subunit ribosomal RNA", at positions 524 to 776 of the family's 1533-position model. The record is from RNAcentral.